Molecule: non-coding RNA, 24 nt
Filed under: Arabidopsis thaliana (thale cress)
Lineage: Eukaryota; Viridiplantae; Streptophyta; Magnoliopsida; Brassicales; Brassicaceae
Source: RNAcentral
UGGAGAUGGUCUUAGAGCACAAUA